UACAGAGGCCUCGAGCGUUAGGCGGAAUCACUGGGCUUAAAGCGUGUGUAGGCGGACUUCUAAGUACCUUGUGAAAUCCCACAGCUUAACUGUGGAACUGCUUGGUAUACUGGUUGUCUUGAGGUACCUAGGGGCGAGCGGAACAAGUGGUGGAGCGGUGAAAUGCGUAGAUAUCACUUGGAACGCCAACGGUGAAAACAGCUCGCUGGGGGUAUCCUGACGCUGAGACGACGAAAGCCAGGGGAGCAAACGGG
RNAcentral lists this ribosomal RNA (254 nucleotides) under uncultured bacterium. RNAcentral describes it as "partial 16S ribosomal RNA". It matches the Rfam family "Bacterial small subunit ribosomal RNA", at positions 524 to 776 of the family's 1533-position model. The record is from RNAcentral.